This 463-nucleotide ribosomal RNA is filed under the name uncultured bacterium. RNAcentral's name for it is "partial 16S ribosomal RNA". It matches the Rfam family "Bacterial small subunit ribosomal RNA", at positions 28 to 507 of the family's 1533-position model. The record is from RNAcentral.
GAUGAACGCUGACAGAAUGCUUAACACAUGCAAGUCGAUGGGGAAGUGGUGCUUGCACCAUGGCAACCAUGGCGGACGGGUGAGUAACGCGUAAGGGACUUACCUGCAGGACUGGGAUAACAGGGGGAAACUCCUGACAAGACCGGAUAAUGUCAUGGAGCUGCAUGGCUUUAUGAUGAAAGGAGACGCCUGCGGAGAGCCUUGCGUCCUAUUAGCUAGUUGGUGAGGUAAUGGCUCACCAAGGCGAAGAUAGGUAGCCGGCCUGAGAGGGUGGACGGCCACAAGGGGACCGAGAUACGGCCCUUACUCCUACGGGAGGCAGCAGUGGGGAAUAUUGGACAAUGGGGGCAACCCUGAUCCAGCAAUUCUGUGUGCACGAAGAAGGUUUUCGGAUUGUAAAGUGCUUUCAGCAGGGAAGAAGUAAGUGACGGUACCUGCAGAAGAAGCGACGGCUAAAUACGUG